Molecule: non-coding RNA, 26 nt
Filed under: Cricetulus griseus (Chinese hamster)
Lineage: Eukaryota; Metazoa; Chordata; Mammalia; Rodentia; Cricetidae
Source: RNAcentral
GUAUUGAGCAGGAGGGACUGCACCUG